Myotis davidii is the source of this 240-nucleotide long non-coding RNA. RefSeq lists it as uncharacterized. The record is from RefSeq and is a predicted model, not a curated record. The transcript is spliced from 3 exons. NCBI's taxonomy places the organism in Eukaryota, Metazoa, Chordata, Mammalia, Chiroptera, Vespertilionidae.
GGAGGGGGAGGUACCUGGGCCCGGGAGUGAUGUCAGCUCCCAGCUCGGUGUCUGCCCGGAUUCCUGACAUGGUGUAGGGCCCGGAGGGUGGGGACGGCGGGAGCGGGACGGGACCGGACUCGGGUUUGCUGGCCCGUGGCGGGGCCAGAGUGCUGGGGCUUUGAACUCCGGGAGAAGGUGAUCCAGAACUUUUGGAACUAGUGCCGGCGGCGCCCACCCCCAGUUUUAAAGAACUGUAUG